This is a long non-coding RNA of Cucurbita moschata (crookneck pumpkin), 531 nucleotides long. RefSeq lists it as uncharacterized. The transcript has 3 exons. NCBI's taxonomy places the organism in Eukaryota, Viridiplantae, Streptophyta, Magnoliopsida, Cucurbitales, Cucurbitaceae. The record is from RefSeq and is a predicted model, not a curated record.
UCCUCUUUCCCCUACCUACCAAAUACCAACUUACUACUUAAAACCUCAGGAUUCAGCAUCAUAAGUACCUCAGAUGGGUAAGGUUGUUUCUACUUGUGUCAUUUUCAACCUCAGGGUGAAGAAUAAUUCUACAGUCAUUCUAUCAAAAGAUUGAUCUUUCAUUUCAGGCUAAUCAUACCAGCAGUGAACUUGGAAAAUUCCCAUAUGAACGAACAGAUUGGAAGGUUGACUGAAGAGAAAAACCAAAGCAUAGUUGAAAAUCUGAUAGCGUAUACACAUUGAGUCUGCAAAAAUUGUCAGAACUGCCGGAAAAAAGGUUUCCUUCUUACACACUAUGCCUUGUUUGGAUGCCCCAUUGUUGAAGUAAAGUCUUAGGAAAGGAGGUGACAUUUAUAACUAAAACACAUUAAAAAACAAGGGAACUUCAUUUACUUUCUUUUAUGCUUAUUCAUUUCAAUUUCAAACACAUUAUUAUUAUUAGCAUUUAUUAUAAUAAAUUUUGGGAGGGUUGGUAUCUUGGAUGAAGAACUU